This 533-nucleotide ribosomal RNA is filed under the name uncultured bacterium. RNAcentral describes it as "bacterial SSU rRNA". It matches the Rfam family "Bacterial small subunit ribosomal RNA", at positions 42 to 601 of the family's 1533-position model. The record is from RNAcentral.
ACGUGCCUAAGAAAUGCAGUCGAGCGAGGAGCAAUCCUAGCGGCGAACGGUCGCGUAACACGUAAGCAACCUGCCCCAGAGACCGGGACAACGUUCCGAAAGGAGCGCUAAUACCGGAUGUGCCCGCAAAGAGGAAUCUCUUGGUGAGUAAAUCAAGCAAUUGGCUCUGGGAGGGGCUUGCGGCCUAUCAGCUAGAUGGUGGGGUAACGGCUUACCAUGGCGACGACGGGUAGCUGGUCUGAGAGGAUGGUCAGCCGGAUUGGGACUGAGAUACGGCCCAGACUCCUACGGGGGGCAGCAAUUAGGAAUCUUGCGCAAUGGGCGAAAGCCUGACGCAGCGACGUCGCGUGGGGGAGGAAGGCUUUCGGGUUGUAAACCCCUUUUGUCGAGGAAGAAGGAUGUGACGGUACUCGACGAAUAAGCCCCGGCUAACUCCGUGCCAGCAGCCGCGGUAAUACGGAGGGGGCGAGCGUUGUCCGAAGUUACUGGGCGUAAAGCGCGCGUANGCGGGUGGGUAAGUCCGCUGUGAAAGC